RNAcentral lists this unclassified non-coding RNA (163 nucleotides) under uncultured Ascomycota. Its description in RNAcentral is "sequence contains ITS1". Lineage: Eukaryota; Fungi; Ascomycota. The record is from RNAcentral.
CAAGAAUCGAGGCUAACGGUGCCUACUCUGUAGGCUCCGUCUAGUCCCGCUCUCUACCUUGCCUACUGCACCGUUUAUUGCUUCCUAGCGGCGGCGUCCCAUCGCCAGGGCCUUUUAAAAGCCAAGUAUAAGCAUUGAAACUUCUGACAUACACUAAAUCGUA